UCAGCAUAGAUAACAAGGUUAAAAGAGCUCCCUAUCUCAUUACCCCAUUGAUUUACCAUCCCUUUAAGCCUAAAUUGAAUCACUUACAGUGUGUUACCUUCACUUAGGAAGUUCUUUUCUUGAAUUGAAUCUCUAAAUUUGCUGUGGUCAAGGGAAAUAAAAAUAUAAAUGCAUGCAAAUAAAAAGUUAGUGUAACCCCUUAUGAGCUGAUUUGCCCAAACUAUUAUGAAAAGAAAAGAAAAAGAAAAACCAUCACAAAAGCACAAAUCAUAAAACCUGUUCCUAUGGCCAAAUAAGCUUCGAACAGAGCUAGUAGCCACUUGAACAAGUGACUAACUGAGUAACCAGGGGUGGGUAUCAC
This 361-nucleotide long non-coding RNA is filed under the name Manihot esculenta (cassava). Its description in RNAcentral is "long non-coding RNA (MESC_LNC005851)". The record is from RNAcentral. Lineage: Eukaryota; Viridiplantae; Streptophyta; Magnoliopsida; Malpighiales; Euphorbiaceae.